AGAGUUUGAUCCUGGCUCAGGAUUAACGCUGGCGGCGUGCAUAACACAUGCAAGUCGAACGAUGAAGAUUAUUAGACUUCUUCGGAAUGAAAAUAAUUGGAUUAGUGGCGGACGGGUGAGUAACGCGUGAGUAACCUGCCUUACACAAGGGGAUAGCCGUUGGAAACGACGAAUAAUACCCUAUGAAACUAUCACUUCGCAUGAAGCGAUAGUCAAAGUGUUAGCGGUGUAAGAUGGACUUGCGUCUGAUUAGCUAGUUGGUGAGAAAAAAGCCCACCAAGGCAACGAUCAGUAGCCGGCUUGAGAGAGUGUACGGCCACAUUGGGACUGAGACACGGCCCAGACUCCUACGGGAGGCAGCAGUGGGGAAUUUUGCACAAUGGGGGAAACCCUGAUGCAGCGACGCCGCGUGAUUUAGAAGGCCUUCGGGUUGUAAAAAUCUUUUGUAUAGGAAGAAAAUGACAGUACUAUACGAAUAAGGUCCGGCUAAUUACGUGCCAGCAGCCGCGGUAAUACGUAAGGACCGAGCGUUGUCCGGAAUCAUUGGGCGUAAAGGGUACGUAGGCGGGUCAUUAAGUUAGAAGUCAAAGGCUAUAGCUCAACUAUAGUAAGCUUCUAAAACUGGAGACCUUGAGUAAUGGAAGGGAAAGUGGAAUUCCUAGUGUAGCGGUGGAAUGCGCAGAUAUUAGGAGGAAUACCGGUGGCGAAGGCGACUUUCUGGCCAUUAACUGACGCUGAGGUACGAAAGCGUGGGUAGCAAACAGGAUUAGAUACCCUGCUAGUCCACGCCGUAAACGAUGAGUGUUAGGUGUCUGGAGUAAAUCUGGGUGCCGCAGCUAACGCAUUAAACACUCCGCCUGGGGGAGUACGCACGCAGGUGUGAAACUCAAAGGAAUUGACGG
This 902-nucleotide ribosomal RNA is filed under the name uncultured bacterium. RNAcentral's name for it is "bacterial SSU rRNA". It matches the Rfam family "Bacterial small subunit ribosomal RNA", at positions 8 to 916 of the family's 1533-position model. The record is from RNAcentral.